CGAAGAGAAGGGCAAAGCUGAAAGGGUAGUGUGGCGCCAUGAGUUGAUGUCUCGUCUCUGACUGACAGCUGCAUUCUGUCAGCUGUCUGUCUGGUACUGGGUUGCAUAAUCUAUCCUGAUGGCUGGGACAGUGACGCGGUUCGGCGGAUGUGCGGCGAGCAGACAGACAAGUACAGCCUGGGGGCCUGCUCAGUGCGUUGGGCCUACAUCUUGGCUAUCAUGGGCAUCCUGGACGCUCUCAUCCUCUCCUUCCUGGCCUUUGUCCUGGGGAACCGGCAGAACGGACUCAUGACAGAAGAGCUGCUGGCUGAGAGCAAGGAGGCAGGCAACGCCUAAAGCAACUGUUUAGGUUCCUGAAUUUCUGUUUUCAUGAAGUAAGAGUCAACCCUCAACAUCAGCUUGGAGGAGGGAGGCCAUCCGUGUCCGGGAAGGAGAGGAACACCAUGGAAACAGCCAGCCUGCCUUUCACACCAUCAAAGCUCAUCCAUUUUGCUUGCAGUCCCUAAGUCAUCCCCAGCAUUUAGAUGUGGCCCAAUACACUUUGAUCCCCAUGUAUCGACUGACCUAACCCUUGCACAACAUUGAAUAGACCAAGGCAGGGGAACAGACUGUUAGUCCGUUGUGAAAUGUAUGGACUACCCUCUACCUCCCCGAGAAGGCACAGGGUUGACAUUGUACACCUACAGUAUACAAGCACAGACACACACACACACACACACACACACACGCACGCGCCAACUCACUUAUAUGCACAAACACGACUCAACACACACAUAGAGUACAUUCAAACAAAACAUUUACAAACUUUGUAAUUACAAGUAUUAAACUAUGUUAACACUUAGCUGUGUGUACCACCGUCACAAUGUGUGUCAUGUUUUAUUUGUGAAAAGAAGAAACUUCUCACUUUUAGAUAAUAUCGGGUUGAUGUAAAUCUGUUGUGUUUCAUAUGUAAAGUUUGACAAUGAAAUGGAAGUUUUAGUUACUAUCUUUGCUCACACACA
This is a long non-coding RNA of Pseudoliparis swirei, 1001 nucleotides long. RefSeq lists it as uncharacterized. The transcript has 4 exons. The record is from RefSeq and is a predicted model, not a curated record. NCBI's taxonomy places the organism in Eukaryota, Metazoa, Chordata, Actinopteri, Perciformes, Liparidae.